GAUGCCAACCGCCGUUAAACCUCAUCGAAGAAGAAGACGUAGCCUCAUAACCAGCGAGCUAACCACGUUUUUAGCUGGCAACAAUGCUGUCACUGAACAAUUUGCGGAUUAUUUGCACAUCACAGGCUCUUCAGCAUUCACCCAAAUUAUUGGCGAACAGACAAUGCGUAUCUAAGGCUUCGCUAUGCAACAACUCCCACCUUCACUAGCAGUAAGGGCACGAGGCACAACAACAACAAGAUGAAACAUGUCAAUUCACUGCAAAGGACUUUCUGCACAGCUUCUGUGAAGCAGAACUGUUGGAACUGUGGACAGUCUGUUGAACAAACUCCAGCCUUCUAAUGUUUAUAUUGUAACUUUGUCCAGCCUCCAAAUGAGGGAGCAUCCUUCUUCCAGAUGAUGGAUUGCUGGAGCUAAAGGGCAUGUACAUAGAGGAGGGGAUGGAUACUGGGGCCAAUCCUAUGUUUCUUAUGGAGAUCAACGAAGCACUGGAUGAGGAACAGAGCAAAGAAGAAUUGGACAAGAUAGGUGCCUCUAUGAAAGAGAAAUUGAAAGACUUGACUGAACAAAUAGAUGCAUCGCUGCACAAAGGGAUGUUGCCCUCAGAUACUAAAGUGUUAUGUUUCUCUCCCUUCUACUCACUGUUCAGUCUUCUGGUAUUUAUUCAGAUGCUUUCAGAUGUGCUUGUGAGUCACAUGGUUGAACUUUCUUUUGCUUUUGCUCCAUAUACAGUAAUUUUCCUUUUCAACAGGAGAGUUUCAAGCUGCCAAAGCACUUUUCGCCCAAAUGAAAUACUUUGCGAACAUUGAAGACAAGGUGAAGGAAAGACUUUCUGUGCUAAUGUAAACUUUGACUUUCUUUUGAUGCUUCCUGGGUAUUUUUAAAGUUGUUUAGAAUGUAUUCAAUAAUAAUAAUAAUACAAUUUGUAUUUAUUCAUUAUGUACAGUAUUUGUUAAA
Coregonus clupeaformis (lake whitefish) is the source of this 957-nucleotide long non-coding RNA. RefSeq lists it as uncharacterized. Lineage: Eukaryota; Metazoa; Chordata; Actinopteri; Salmoniformes; Salmonidae. The record is from RefSeq and is a predicted model, not a curated record. The transcript is spliced from 3 exons.